AAUCUAAAGUUUGUGUAAAGAUCAUUGCUCAGUAUGAUACAUUAAUGGUUGAUUAUGAAUUACUUACACAGAUACAUACAUAUUCUAAAGAUGGCUUUCUGUUUUGUUUACAGUUGAUGCCUUCCUUGACAUUUCUUGUGUUGUCGAAACAUCUUCUAUUCUCAAAGUCCUGCCAGACUUCUCUCUUGCUUUCCAUCUGUUUUUCUGUGCCCCCUUAAACUUCAUCCCCUGCCUCCUUUCUCUUUUCUGCCUUUUCUAUCGGUCACAGACACUGUUCUGUACCAUCUGUAUUAAAGGACCAGGUGGUCACAGACACUGUUCUGUACCAUCUGUAUUAAAGGACCAGGUGGUCACAGACACUGUUCUGUACCAUCUGUAUUAAAGGACCCAGGUGGUCACAGACACCGUUCUGUACCAUCUGUAUUAAAGGACCCAGGUGGUCACAGACACUGUUCUGUACCAUCUGUAUACCCAGUGAAUAAGGACCCAGGUGGUCACAGACACCGUUCUGUACCAUCUGUAUACCCAGUGAAUAAGGACCCAGGUGGUCACAGACACCGUUCUGUACCAUCUGUAUACCCAGUGAAUAAGGACCCAGGUGGUCACAGACACCGUUCUGUACCAUCUGUAUACCCAGUGAAUAAGGACCCAGGUGGUCACAGACACCGUUCUGUGCCAUCUGAAAAACUUCUGAAUAAGGACACAGACGGUCACAGACACUGCUCUGUACCCUCUGAAUACCCUUUCAGGUGACCUUAAGAAUCAAACCAUCUGCAGUCAGAGACCUCCUUCAUUCUGACCUUAUCUACAGUUGAAGACCGUCACACAUUCACAACAUUCACUGAAGCUGUAGUCAUAUAUUUAAUAGCAGUACAUAUAAUAUUCCCCCUUUUUUAUAGUCUAGAGUAUAACUUACUACAUACUGUUGUAUCUACUUUUCUUCAUUUAGUUAAUUGCCAUUAUAUUGUUUAUUCAUUUUUAAGCCAAC
Astyanax mexicanus (Mexican tetra) is the source of this 988-nucleotide long non-coding RNA. RefSeq lists it as uncharacterized. NCBI's taxonomy places the organism in Eukaryota, Metazoa, Chordata, Actinopteri, Characiformes, Acestrorhamphidae. The transcript is spliced from 4 exons. The record is from RefSeq and is a predicted model, not a curated record.